Molecule: unclassified non-coding RNA, 1356 nt
Filed under: uncultured Neocallimastigales
Lineage: Eukaryota; Fungi; Neocallimastigomycota; Neocallimastigomycetes; Neocallimastigales
Description: partial contains small subunit ribosomal RNA, internal transcribed spacer 1, 5.8S ribosomal RNA, internal transcribed spacer 2, and large subunit ribosomal RNA
Rfam family: Eukaryotic large subunit ribosomal RNA (bases 630-1356)
Source: RNAcentral
GGAAGUAAAAGUCGUAACAAGGUUUCCGUAGGUGAACCUGCGGAAGAUCAUUAAAAAAUGAGCCUCUGAUUUAAGGGUCUAUUAAUAAUCCUACCUUUGCGAAUUUGUUUGUUUUUUAAUUUGCGUCUUUCCCUGUUUUUUGAUGGAGCUGUUAAAAAGCAAAAUCAAAUGCAGGGGAAUGGCAAAACCUUUUUUAAAAUUAAACAUUUGUAUUCAUUCGUCUAAAAUUAUUUUUAUAAUAUAAAACAACUUUUGACAAUGGAUCUCUUGUUCUCGCAACGAUGAAGAACGCAGCAAAAUGCGAUAAGUAAUGUGAAUUGCAGAAUACGUGAAUCAUCGAAUCUUCGAACGCAUAUUGCGCUUUUUUGGUUUACCAAAAAGUAUGUCUGUUUGAGUAUCAGUAAAAUAUUCUCAUAAAAACUUUUGUUUUUAUGGUUAUGAGUGUUUUACAACGAUAAACAAGUUGUUUCACUUUAAAUUCUUUGUCUUUUAAAAAUCAUUUAAAAACUGAUUUUUUUUAAAAUUGGAUAAAAUUUUCCCGUAAAAAGGAAUAACCUAAACAAUUUAUAAAAUGAAUUAGUUUGAUUUUUUAAAAAAAGACCAAAAGGAAAAAAAAGUAAAAAUUAACUUGAUCUCAAAUCAGAUAAGAGUACCGCUGAACUUAAGCAUAUCAAUAAGCGGAGGAAAAGAAACUAACUAGGAUUCCCUCAGUAACGGCGAGUGAACGGGAAGAGCUCAAAUUUGAAAUCUUCAAGUUCUACCUUGACAAUUGUAGUUUAAAGAAGUGUUUUCUGUUGGAGUUUUGGUAAAGUUCUUUGGAAUAGGACAUCAUAGAGGUGAGAUCCCGUAUUUGACCAUUAUUUCCAACUUUGUGAUACACUUUCAAAGAGUCGGAUUGUUUGGAAUGCAGUCCAAAUGGUGGUAAAUUUCAUCUAAAGCUAAAUACUGCGAGAGACCGAUAGCGAACAAGUACCGUGAGGAAAGAUGAAAAGAACUUUGAAAAGAGAGUUAAACAGUACGUGAAAUUGUCAAAGGAAGCGUUUGACACCAGUGUUGUUUUCUCGAAAAUCAAUUAAAAUGGUGGGAUGUUGUGUUGUAUUGACUUUAUCAGCUUUCUGCACUUUUUUUCCUAUCUUUUUUAAUGCACUUUUCGUUUAACAAGUCAACAUCAAUUUCUUUUGUUGUAAGAGAGUCAUUGGAAGGUGCUUUCUUUUCGGAGAAAGUGUUUAUAGCCUUUGGCUUCUGCAAUCGGAGAGAUUGAGUCUGCAGCGUAGAUCCUUCGGGUUAGAUAUUUGUGCUAAGUUAUAGCUUUCAUAGACAACUUGUUGACUAUGAUCAGUCAUGUAGCUUACUCGC